This 442-nucleotide ribosomal RNA is filed under the name uncultured bacterium. RNAcentral's name for it is "partial 16S ribosomal RNA". It matches the Rfam family "Bacterial small subunit ribosomal RNA", at positions 338 to 795 of the family's 1533-position model. The record is from RNAcentral.
CCUACGGGUGGCAGCAGUAGGGAAUCUUUCACAAUGGGCGAAAGCCUGAUGGAGCAACGCCGCGUGCAGGCUGAAGGCCUUCGGGUUGUAAACUGCUUUUAUAAGCGAGCAAUAUGAUGGUAACUUAUGAAUAAGGAUCGGCUAACUACGUGCCAGCAGCCGCGGUCAUACGUAGGAUCCGAGCAUUAUCCGGAGUGACUGGGUGUAAAGAGUUGCGUAGGUGGCAUAAUAAGUAGCUAGUGAAAUCUGGUGGCUCAACCAUUCAGACUAUUAGCUAAACUGUUAAGCUCGAGACCGUUAGGGGUAACUGGAAUUUCUAGUGUAGGAGUGAAAUCCGUAGAUAUUAGAAGGAACACCAAUAGCGUAGGCAGGUUGCUGGGACGGUUCUGACACUAAGGCACGAAAGCGUAGGGAGCAAACGGGAUUAGAUACCCGAGUAGUC